UACGAAGGGGGCUAGCGUUGUUCGGAUUUACUGGGCGUAAAGCGCAUGUAGGCGGGCCGAUAAGUUGGGGGCGAAAGCCCGGAGCUCAACUCCGGAACUGCCUUCAAAACUGCCGGCCUGGAGCAGAUGAGAGGCGAGUGGAAUUCCGAGUGUAGAGGUGAAAUUCGUAGAUAUUCGGAGGAACACCAGUGGCGAAGGCGACUCGCUGGCAUCUUGCUGACGCUGAGAUGCGAAAGCGUGGGGAGCAAACAGG
RNAcentral lists this ribosomal RNA (253 nucleotides) under uncultured bacterium. RNAcentral's name for it is "partial 16S ribosomal RNA". It matches the Rfam family "Bacterial small subunit ribosomal RNA", at positions 524 to 776 of the family's 1533-position model. The record is from RNAcentral.